CCAGACUCCUACGGGAGGCAGCAGUGAGGAAUUUUGGACAAUGGGCGAAAGCCUGAUCCAGCAAUGCCGCGUGCAGGAUGAAGGCCUUCGGGUUGUAAACUGCUUUUGUACGGAACGAAACGGUCGCCUCUAAUAAAGGCGGCUAAUGACGGUACCGUAAGAAUAGGCCCCGGCUNNCUCCGUGCCGGCAGCCGCGGUGUCGCGUGGGGUGCGGGCGUUUCUCGGAUUUGCUGGGCGUNNGGCGUGCGCGGGCGGUUNUNUGGGUCGGGUGUGNNGUCCCCGGGCUCNCCCUGGGCCCUGCCUUUGUGCCUGUUUNGCUNGNGUCCGGUNGNGGGGGNUGGNUUUCCGCGUGUGGCGGUGNNUUGCGUGGUUAUGCGGAGGNCCCCCGNUGGCGNGGGCAUUCCCCUGGCCCUGUUCUGNCGCUCGUGCCCGAANGCGUGCUCCCCAUUAGAGGCCCUCNNUNCCCNNNNUNNUCCACNCCCUNCACCCCUUCUAUUGGUGGUUGUUGGGUCUUCACUGACUCAGUAACGAAGCUAACGCGUGAAGUUGACCGCCUGGGGAGUACGGCCGCAAGGUUGGAACUCAAAGGAAUUGACGGGGGCCUAUACAAGUGGUGGAGCAUGUGGUUUAAUGCGACAAUACGCGCGAAACCUUACCAGUUCUUGACAUAAAAAAGAAAAAGUUUGAAAGGACAAUUUUGAAGAUUUUUACAGGUGCUGCAUGGCUGUCGUCAGCUCGUGUCGUGAGAUGUUAGGUUAACUCCUUUUAACGGGCGAAACCCCUUUUUUUAGUUGCCACUUAAAUUUAGUUUUAAAGCACUCUAAAAAGACUGCUCCCUUUUUUUAAUUUGGAGAGGAAGGUGGGGAUGACGUCAAGUCCUUAUGGCCCUUAUGAACUGGGCUACACACGUGCUACAAUGGUAAAGACAAUAAGAAGCAAUAGGGCAACUUGGAGCCAAUCUUUAAACUUUGCCAAAGUUCGGAUUGUGGACUGCAACUCGUCCACAUGAAGGUGGAAUCACUAGUAAUCGCACAUCAGCAUGUUGCGGUGAAAAAGUUCCUAGGCCUUGUUCUCUCCGCCCGUCA
Molecule: ribosomal RNA, 1085 nt
Filed under: uncultured bacterium
Lineage: Bacteria
Description: partial 16S ribosomal RNA
Rfam family: Bacterial small subunit ribosomal RNA
Source: RNAcentral